RNAcentral lists this ribosomal RNA (393 nucleotides) under uncultured bacterium. RNAcentral's name for it is "partial 16S ribosomal RNA". It matches the Rfam family "Bacterial small subunit ribosomal RNA", at positions 523 to 918 of the family's 1533-position model. The record is from RNAcentral.
AUACGGAGGAUCCGAGCGUUAUCCGGAUUUAUUGGGUUUAAAGGGAGCGUAGGCGGGAGAUCAAGUCAGCUGUGAAAUGUAGAUGCUCAACAUCUGCACUGCAGUUGAAACUGGUUUUCUUGAGUGCGUAAGGGGCAGGCGGAAUUCGUCGUGUAGCGGUGAAAUGCUUAGAUAUGACGAAGAACUCCGAUCGCGAAGGCAGCCUGCCGGGCCGCGACUGACGCUGAAGCUCGAAGGUGCGGGUAUCGAACAGGAUUAGAUACCCUGGUAGUCCGCACAGUAAACGAUGGAUACUCGCUGUCGGCGAUAUGCGGUCGGUGGCCAAGCGAAAGCGUUAAGUAUCCCACCUGGGGAGUACGCCGGCAACGGUGAAACUCAAAUGAAUUGACGGGG